GACGAACGCUGGCGGCAGGCCUAACACAUGCAAGUCGAACGAGUGGCGGACGGGUGAGUAAUGUCUGGGAAACUGCCCGAUGGAGGGGGAUAACUACUGGAACCGGUAGCUAAUACCGCAUACCAUCGGCUUUGCCCAGAUGGGGUUAGCUAGUAGGUGGGGUAACGGCUCACCUAGGACACGAUCCCUAGCUGGUCUGAGAGGAUGACCGGCCACAUUGGGACUGAGACACGGUCCAGACUCCUACGGGAGGCAGCAGUGGGGAAUAUUGCGCAAUGGGCGCAAGCCUGAGGCAGCCAUGCCGCGUGUAUGAAGAAGGCCUUCGGGUUGUAAAGUACUUUCAGCGAGGAGGCGUUACUCGCAGAAGAAGCACCGGCUAACUCCGUGCCAACAGCCGCGGUAAUUC
RNAcentral lists this ribosomal RNA (406 nucleotides) under uncultured bacterium. RNAcentral's name for it is "partial 16S ribosomal RNA". It matches the Rfam family "Bacterial small subunit ribosomal RNA", at positions 28 to 526 of the family's 1533-position model. The record is from RNAcentral.